AGGAAGUAAAGGCAUAUAGCAACAGUCAAGUUCAAGUGGGCAAGGCAAUCUGCUCAGGUUCUGCUAAGCCCCUGUCAUCAACUGGCCGAUGGACCAGGUUGCUUCUGAGUAGCCCUCAGGAAUGACCAAGUAGUUGUGGUGAGUCGGGGAGGUAUCGAG
This is a long non-coding RNA of Passer domesticus (house sparrow), 159 nucleotides long. RefSeq lists it as uncharacterized. NCBI's taxonomy places the organism in Eukaryota, Metazoa, Chordata, Aves, Passeriformes, Passeridae. The transcript has 3 exons. The record is from RefSeq and is a predicted model, not a curated record.